RNAcentral lists this ribosomal RNA (440 nucleotides) under uncultured bacterium. Its description in RNAcentral is "bacterial SSU rRNA". It matches the Rfam family "Bacterial small subunit ribosomal RNA", at positions 339 to 796 of the family's 1533-position model. The record is from RNAcentral.
CUACGGGAGGCAGCAGUCGGGAAUUUUGCUCAAUGGGCGCAAGCCUGAUCCAGCCAUGCCGCGUGAGUGAUGAAGGCCCUAGGGUUGUAAAGCUCUUUCGCCAGGGACGAUAAUGACGGUACCUGGAUAAGAAGCCCCGGCUAACUUCGCGCCAGCAGCCGCGGUAAUACGAAGGGGGCUAGCGUUGUUCGGAAUCACUGGGCGUAAAGCGCACGUAGGCGGAUCUUUAAGUCAGGGGUGAAAUCCCGAGGCUCAACCUCGGAACUGCCCUUGAUACUGGAGAUCUUGAGUUCGGGAGAGGUGAGUGGAACUGCGAGUGUAGAGGUGAAAUUCGUAGAUAUUCGCAAGAACACCAGUGGCGAAGGCGGCUCACUGGCCCGAUACUGACGCUGAGGUGCGAAAGCGUGGGGAGCAAACAGGAUUAGAAACCCCUGUAGUCC